RNAcentral lists this small RNA (2768 nucleotides) under Pyricularia oryzae. RNAcentral describes it as "Magnaporthe oryzae sRNA M_BR32_EuGene_00030771". Lineage: Eukaryota; Fungi; Ascomycota; Sordariomycetes; Magnaporthales; Pyriculariaceae. The record is from RNAcentral.
UAAAAAUAUUGUUUUGGAUUUUUAACCGAAGUAUAUAUUUAUUAUUUAUUACCGGGUAAUUUUUAUAAUUUAUAUUUAAUUAUAUAUUAAUAAAUUGUAAAUUAUUUAAUAAAAUAAAAAUAAAAAACGGCGUUCCGUUUAUAAAAUGUCGAAUUAAGUUAAGUUUAUUAUAUUUACUACUUAAGUUUUAAUCCGUUUUUAUUUUAAUUACGUUUUGUGGUUUUUAUUUUCGAUUGAAUUUUAUAUUAAAAAUUAUUAGUUUUUUUUUCCGAAAAUCCCUGUUCUAAUAGCGGGUAUUAUUAUAAAAAAUAUAACGCCGUUAUAUAUAUAUAUAUAUUUAAUCCGUUAUUUAAUAAUUCGAAUUACCGUAACGCAAAUAUAUUUUUAUUUUGCGUUUCCGUUAAUAUUUAUUGUUAUAAAUUUAUUUAGCGCGUGAACGCGUAUGUUUUUUAUUAAAAUUAGAAAAUUAAACUUACCCGGGUUAACGGCGUUUUUCAAUUUUUUUAUUAAAUUUAAAUUUUAUCGCAGUUAUAUUUAUUAUAAACGUAUUUUUGUUUUUCGUUAAUUUGGGGGCCGGGGCGGUACCCGCGCGGUAAAAACCGAAAUAUUUAUCCAAUUCGAUUUUUUUGAAAUUUUAAAUAAUUUGGCGUUAAAUAAUUAUUGUUUUUAAAUAAAUCCCGUUUUUAAUAUUUUAUCCGAUAUAUUUUUUCCGGGUUUUAAAAAAUAUGCGAAAAUGCGAAAAGUUGGUACGGAAUUUGUCUGUUUAAAUUAAUUUUCCGGCUGUAAUUAAAAAAGUUUCGAAAUCCGUAAUAAAUUAGGCAAAUAAUUAAUUAAAUUAUAGUCUUAACCUUUUAAAUUUAAUUUUAACUCAUACCCGUUUAUAAAAACUACAAUAUAUACGCUCCAAAUAAUUUAAAAAAUUUAUAUAAUAAUACGCGUCGUUUUUACUGCCUAUUUUAUAAUAAAAACAAAUUAUUUUUUCAACGGGCGCGUCGAAUUUUGUUUAUAAAUACUUAUAUUAAUUGCUGUAAUUAUUUAUAAAACCCGCGUCGCAGCGGAAUUUAUAUUUUAUAAUAUAUUACUAAAUUAUAUAUGAGACCGGAACGUCGUUAUAUAAUAACGUAUAUUAAAACGGUUAAUAUUUUGAUAAUAUUAUUAUUUGUAAUAUUUCCGCAAUAAUUAAUAUUAUUAGGGUUUUUAUUUAUAACGUUUAUAUUUUUUAUUAAUCCGCGAUUAUCCGUUAUAAUUUUUUACAACGCGGCGCCCGGUAUUUAAACGGCGGUUGUUUUUAUAAAUGGCGAAUUUAUUAUUUGUAUAAAAAAAGUAAUAAACGAUAAUUAAUAUUAUAGGGUAAAUUAACAAUUAUACAACGGUUAAAUACCCGAAAAAAUAUUAUUAUCGCUAAAAAAAGGGGAAAAGAAGGGUACGGAAAAGGUUUUGGCGACUCUCCCUCCUUUAUAUAAAAUAUAAAUAAUUACGUAAUCCCCGCUGCUAUUUAUAUACGGAAAUACGUGCAAUUAGCACGAAUCCGUAAUAUUAUAAUUUAAUUGCAACUGUAUAUUGUAGCUGUGGGUAUAACCACAAAUUGCUCCCGAUUAAGUUUAAGGCCAUUUUGUCGUUUUUCGCCGUUCGUGGAAAUGCUACCAUAUAUCAAAUAAUUGGACCAAAAUUCCCCUCUUUUAUAAUAAAUUAAAUAAAUAUCGCAAAAAUAUACGGUUUGCACGUUGAAUAUAAUAUUAACCCAGUUUUUAACAACGAUUUAACUUUUAUUAACAAUUUACUAAUUGGUGGGUUUUGGAAUAUAAAUCGGAAAAAUUCGUUAAUUAAAAUACAAAUUCUGUUAAAAUAUUAAAAUUUCGAUUUUAUUUUAUUGUAAUUUUGUUUUGUAGCAGAAUUUAAUAAUCUUUACGCGUGGGGGGUAAUAUAUAUACAAAUUUCAUAUAUAUAAGUUAUUAUAUUAAUAUUAUAUAAUAUAAUAUAGUAAAAAACCAAAUAGGUAAAACAAAUUAAAAUUUAGUAAAAUUUGCAAUUGAAACGGGUUUGCAUUUUAACUAAUUUUUAGGGUACCAAUAUUAAAAUUCUAACAAUUGGACUUUAUAUAUAUAUAAACGCCCACGUUAAAUUAAAGUUGCAAAAAAACCCAAAAUUGGCUAUUCUAUUAGUAAAAAUAACAAUAUUUGUAAUUAUUAUUAUUUUUAUUAUUAUUUUUCAAAUAAAUAAAAUUUGUAAAAAUUAACAAAAAAAAUAUAUUAUACGUUAAAUAUAAAAAAGUUUAUUAUAAAUAAAAGUUAAAAUACCCACCCUAUUAUUUAUAAAUAUAAAAUAAAUUUAAUAAAUUAACUAAAUUUUAUAUUUUUUAUUUUAAAAUGUUAGAUAAUUAUUUUAAGUAAAAAAAUAAAAUAAAUACUUAUAUAAAUAAUUAUAAAUAUUAUUUCUAGAUAAAAAUUGGAUUUUUUAUCGUAUAUAUAUUCUGUUAAUAAAGUAGAAGAUUAAAUUACAAAUAAAGUAAUUUAAACGGCUAAUAUUUCGGCCACUAUAAGUAGUCCGAAAUCGAAUAAAAUGUUGUUAAAAAGCCUAGAAAACUGGGUAUAUAACAGCCUUUUGUUUGGAUUUUUACUACUUUUGUUAAUAAUAUAAGUGCUAAUAGUGGGUAUAAAUGGUAAUCCUAGGUGCGGCGUAAUAAAUAACCCAUGUUAAAAGCGCUAAAUAUAUUAAAAUAUAAAACGUUAUACGCAAUUAGAUAAUAAUAUAUUGGUAGGAUGAUUUUA